RNAcentral lists this ribosomal RNA (603 nucleotides) under Clostridioides difficile. RNAcentral's name for it is "partial 23S ribosomal RNA". It matches the Rfam family "Bacterial large subunit ribosomal RNA", at positions 1 to 749 of the family's 2925-position model. Lineage: Bacteria; Bacillati; Bacillota; Clostridia; Peptostreptococcales; Peptostreptococcaceae. The record is from RNAcentral.
UGGUCAAGUUAUUAAGGGUGCAGGGCGGAUGCCUUGGCACUAGGAGCCGAUGAAGGACGUGAUAAGCUGCGAUAAGCUUCGGGGAGUUGCACGUAAACUUUGAUCCGAAGAUUUCCGAAUGAGGAAACUCACUUAGAGUAAUGUCUAAGUAUCAUUAAGUGAAUACAUAGCUUAAUGAGGGGAACUCAGGGAACUGAAACAUCUAAGUACCUGAAGGAAGAGAAAGAAAUUCGAUUCCGUAAGUAGCGGCGAGCGAACGCGGAUUAGCCCAAACCAAUAAAGUUUUCUUUAUUGGGGUUGCGGACAUAUCAUAACGAAGAGGUAUCGUAAUUGAAGAGGUUUGGAAAGACUCACCACAGAAGGUAAUAGUCCUGUAUGUUAAACGAGAAGACUUCAGAUAUGAUCCAGAGUACCACGGGACACGUGAAACCCUGACAUUUCUUGUGUGACCGCGUACUUUUUGUAGAACGGGCCAACGAGUUACGUUAAGUAGCAAGGUUAAGCACUUAAGGUGCGGAGCCGUAGCGAAAGCGAGUUUUAACUGAGCGUUCAGUUACUUGACGUAGACCCGAAACCGGGCGACCUACCCAUGAGCAGGAUGAA